RNAcentral lists this ribosomal RNA (253 nucleotides) under uncultured bacterium. RNAcentral describes it as "partial 16S ribosomal RNA". It matches the Rfam family "Bacterial small subunit ribosomal RNA", at positions 524 to 776 of the family's 1533-position model. The record is from RNAcentral.
UACGGGGGGGGCAAGCGUUGUUCGGAAUUACUGGGCGUAAAGGGCUCGUAGGCGGCCAUCUAAGUCGGACGUGAAAUCCCCAGGCUCAACCUGGGAACUGCAUCCGAUACUGGAUGGCUUGAAAUCGGGAGAGGGAUGCAGAAUUCCAGGUGUAGCGGUGAAAUGCGUAGAUAUCUGGAGGAAUACCGGUGGCGAAGGCGGCAUCCUGGACCGACAUUGACGCUGAGGAGCGAAAGCUAGGGGAGCAAACGGG